CUUGGUUUGUAAACUAAUACAACUUAGCAGGGGGAUUUUAUUAUAUUGUUCAAGGGUAUUAUAAAGGUUUAUAUUCUUCAGUCUACUUUUAAGUAAUAACCCAACAUAUAGAAUAUAGAAAAAGCUUUCUACAGUUUAUUUAUUAUGGUGAUAUUUGUCAUAUGGAAAAGUUAAUAGUGCCAUAAAUAUGCAGUAGCAGGGAAAUGGUAUUUAACUAUUUGGCAUUGUUAUUCACAAAUUAUUGUUCUACAAAACAUAAUUCUAUAAACAUGUAGAAAAGAGACUAGUAGAGAGUAUAUAAAUGUACACAAACUCCUGAAUAUUUUAUUACCUGUGGGUACCAUAUUUUUGCUUGGCAAAGUAAUGACCCAAACUCAGUUUGGAAAAUAUGGUCACCGGAGAGUCAUGUGGUCAUGAAGUCAUGAAAUCUGGAAAUGUCUAGCAAUAACCCAUUUAUUACAGAGAGAAAUCGACCUUCUUAUAACUUCCAUCCAUUCUUACCAGGUCUGGCAAUUGAGAGAACCAGACCAAAAACCUCAUAAACUAUGAUACAUAUGUAAAAGAUCAUGAUCUUAGCAGUUCUAACAUACUAACAGGCAGCCAUUGCAUCCCAAUCACUGUCAUGGUUAAUAUCCUAGAGAUAUAAAGUUAUGCUUAUAAUGUCUUCUAUUUGGACCCUUCAAACGGCAGACUUUCAUCUGCUCCUCUCCAACCCUGUAGCCUUCAUCUGGAACACGGCCUUGUGGUUCAGAACUGGAAAUGCUCUCCAGUAUUUUGCUCUACUUGAGUCUAAAAUAUCCUUCCUUAUAAUUGAAGGCAAAUGCUUGUUUUCUCCAUUCUCUCGGGAGCCAGCUUAGCAACAACCAACGGAUAUGGGAGUUGUUCAUUGGAAACGUCUUUCAACUUUGCUGCGUGCUUGCAAAUUUUCACAACAAUACAUUGGCAAAAAAAAUAUGACCUGGUGUGCCUUCACUGAUGAAAAUAGAUGAAAAAUGGAUUCCUAGUCCAUUUUUAGAUCUUUGCUUCUGAGUAGGAUUCAGGAGAUAGCAGACACGCAUCACUCCCACUGCUACAGCUCAGGAGCAAAAAGAGGUAUCACAAAUCACGUAUUCAUAACACAGUGGAGAAUCAAAGAGGCCAAGAGUUCUAGAAGAGUGGCCAGCGCCAUGGCUCAAUAGGCUAAUCUCCGCCUUGCGGCGCCGGCACACAGGGUUCUAGUCCUGGUCGGGACGCCGGAUUCUGUCCCGGUUGCCUCUCUUCCAGGCCAGCUCUCUGCUGUG
Molecule: long non-coding RNA, 1280 nt
Filed under: Oryctolagus cuniculus (rabbit)
Lineage: Eukaryota; Metazoa; Chordata; Mammalia; Lagomorpha; Leporidae
Description: lncRNA (ENSOCUG00000034393.1)
Source: RNAcentral